This 496-nucleotide ribosomal RNA is filed under the name uncultured bacterium. Its description in RNAcentral is "partial 16S ribosomal RNA". It matches the Rfam family "Bacterial small subunit ribosomal RNA", at positions 28 to 506 of the family's 1533-position model. The record is from RNAcentral.
GACGAACGCUGGCGGCGUGCCUAAUACAUGCAAGUUGAGCGAUGAAGAUUGGUGCUUGCACCAAUUUGAAGAGCAGCGAACGGGUGAGUAACGCGUGGGGAAUCUGCCUUUGAGCGGGGGACAACAUUUGGAAACGAAUGCUAAUACCGCAUAAUAACUUUAAACAUAAGUUUUAAGUUUGAAAGAUGCAAUUGCAUCACUCAAAGAUGAUCCCGCGUUGUAUUAGCUAGUUGGUGAGGUAAAGGCUCACCAAGGCGAUGAUACAUAGCCGACCUGAGAGGGUGAUCGGCCACAUUGGGACUGAGACACGGCCCAAACUCCUACGGGAGGCAGCAGUAGGGAAUCUUCGGCAAUGGACGAAAGUCUGACCGAGCAACGCCGCGUGAGUGAAGAAGGUUUUCGGAUCGUAAAACUCUGUUGGUAGAGAAGAACGUUGGUGAGAGUGGAAAGCUCAUCAAGUGACGGUAACUACCCAGAAAAGGACGGCGAACUACGU